AUGUCAUGGUGUGGACAUUUUUCUCAGUAGCUCUUUGUAUCUUUCUCAUGCAUCAGGAACUGUUUCAUCAUCCAUUUGUUUAAAAGUGGACAUCUCAUUUCUAGAUUU
This is a small nucleolar RNA of Cynara cardunculus var. scolymus (artichoke), 108 nucleotides long. Lineage: Eukaryota; Viridiplantae; Streptophyta; Magnoliopsida; Asterales; Asteraceae. The record is from RefSeq and is a predicted model, not a curated record.